CUGGAGAGCCGCAGGAUUCAGGACCUCCUGCCUUUUGUUGUCACUCAGCAUUUGAGCAGAGCAGCGAUUGGCCAGUUAAAGCAUUUAAUUACGCAGCUAACGCAGAUCACCUGAUUUCUCGGAUCUGAAUCGGUUGUUGAUUUUAUGGCGAGAAACAACAAAGACCAGUAGACCAUGGUUCUCUGUGACCAGGACUGAAGAUCACUCAGCGAAGAUUUAACAUAAGGUGGCUGCUGUGCUUCAGGAGGCAAAGACUCAGCUGCAGUUUAGACUACAGACCUAUUCAAAGCACUGCUGUAUAGAUGCAGGGGGCGGCCCAGCAUGUGCGCAGUGUCUGGAGCUGUUUCGGUGCCAGUGGGACGCGGGCCGGGUCUGCGAGAGCCACGUUUUUCCCAGGGCCACAUAGUCUUGAGUUGCUAACUUCUCCUUUCCCAAGACCGCUGUGGGAGUUUCCUGGAUUUUGUUUUUAAACUGUCGUCGUUGUCAUUCUCCAAGAAAGCCGCUGAUAUAAAUUAUGAACAUAACAAGAGCCGAGAACUGUGCUAUUGCCCAACCAUUUCCAAGUAAUAAAAGCACGGUUUGCAUUUUAUUUUUUAUUUUUUUGUUCUUGAACAUCCAUGUAGCUGAUAACAUUUCC
Long non-coding RNA from Anguilla anguilla (European eel), 637 nucleotides. RefSeq lists it as uncharacterized. Lineage: Eukaryota; Metazoa; Chordata; Actinopteri; Anguilliformes; Anguillidae. The record is from RefSeq and is a predicted model, not a curated record. The transcript has 4 exons.